CCGGCGACCGGCGCACGGGUGAGUAACGCGUAUGCAACCUGCCCGUUUCAGCGGGAUAACCCGGAGAAAUCCGGCCUAAUACCGCAUGUGGCCGAGGGGAGGCAUCUUCUUUCGGCCAAAGGAGGCGACUCCGGAGACGGAUGGGCAUGCGUGACAUUAGCUAGUUGGCGGGGUAACGGGCCCACCAAGGCGACGAUGUCUAGGGGUUCUGAGAGGAAGGUCCCCCACACUGGUACUGAGACACGGACCAGACUCCUACGGGAGGCAGCAG
RNAcentral lists this ribosomal RNA (271 nucleotides) under uncultured bacterium. RNAcentral's name for it is "partial 16S ribosomal RNA". It matches the Rfam family "Bacterial small subunit ribosomal RNA", at positions 88 to 354 of the family's 1533-position model. The record is from RNAcentral.